RNAcentral lists this ribosomal RNA (253 nucleotides) under uncultured bacterium. RNAcentral's name for it is "partial 16S ribosomal RNA". It matches the Rfam family "Bacterial small subunit ribosomal RNA", at positions 524 to 776 of the family's 1533-position model. The record is from RNAcentral.
UACGUAGGGGGCAAGCGUUGUCCGGAAUCAUUGGGCGUAAAGCGCGUGUAGGCGGCUUCGUAAGUCCGUUGUGAAAGUCCAGGGCUCAACCCUGGAAUGCCGAUGGAUACUGCGGAGCUAGAGUACGGAAGAGGCGAGUGGAAUUCCUGGUGUAGCGGUGAAAUGCGCAGAUAUCAAGCGGAACACCGGUGGCGAAGGCGGCCUUCUGGACAGAAACUGACGCUGAGACGCGAAAGCGUGGGGAGCAAACAGG